UUGGAGCACUGCGGAGCACAGCAGGACAACCUCGAGGCCGCCGCCUCACCCGGGCGCAAGGCGAUGACGUCACAGCGUGGGACGACGCGCCUUGGCAGCAUCCAAAGGGGACAGCCGCGCUGAAGCGCGGUUGUUAUGGAUACACAGCCACGCGUGCGCCGUCGUCACGCGGACGGCUGUACGCCGUGCCAUGAAUGAGGGCGCGCCGUCGCCGUCGCAACGCAGCUGAGUGACGUCCUGGCAGAUAGAACAAACCAGGUGUGAGCACUGUCUUUCCAAAGUUACACUGAAGCCGUUGGAGGAAAGGUCGGACCUCAGGCCUUCCCGCGGCACCAACUACUGACGGCGGAUUUGCUCACGGAUCCUUCACAGCUGUUUCAAAGAACCAUUCUGUGAUUCUAUGAUCUUCCAGGACCCUUCCAAGCCACACCAUCCUGUGGUUCUAUCAUCUUCCAGGACUCUUCCAACACAAACCAUUCUAUGGUUCUGUGAUCACUAAGGAACCUCCCAAGCCACGCCGUCCUGCAGUUCUAUGAUCUUCCAGGACCCUUCUGUGCGGGUGAUGUCACAAUGAUGUGAUGACCUCACAGAGGCCCUGGGGUGGGGCAGGGGCAGUGGGUCAGCACUGAACCUGCCGGCCCCAUUCUGCGGUUGGUUCUGGUCCAGCGAGGAGCUGUGCGAGUGGUGCAGUAAUGCGGGUUCAGUUUGGCAGCGGAAUAAUAGCGCAGCAGCGUGUGAAGCUGGUGCAGAAGUUGCUGCAGGCUCAGGAGUGGGCCGAUGAGAAGCGCAAGGCCAAGGCCAGGAAAUCCUUGCUGAAGGAUGCCCAGAAAUUACGGGCAGAAAGAACAGCUGCCAGGAAAGAGAAGCGGAAGCAGGAGAAGCAUCUCGUUGCCCAGCUGGAAGAGCAGCUGCAGGCUGAGACAGAGGCGAUCGAGGUGCUGCGCCUGCAAGAGGAGCGGGAGAAGCUGGAGCUGGAGGGUGCCUGGCAGCAGCAUCAGCUGGAGCUGGAGGCAGCCCACGUGCCUGGGGCUGUGCUGCCGGAGCUGGUGGAGGCAGAGCUGGAGAAGAAGGAGCGGGUGAGGAGACGUGGGCUCGCCUUCUGGAUGAAGACAAUCUGCCUCAUCUUCGUCAGCCUCCAGCUGCUGCUCGUUGCCGUGCUGGGCUCUGCAGUGCUGUAUGCCCAGCACUAUGACCAGGAGCUGUUGUAUCGGCUCCUGCUGCGAGUGCUGCCCCAGGCAAUGUACGCUUCCCCUGGCGUACUUUGCGAGCAGGAGCCUGCGUGUGGUCUGUGAUGGGCUGCUGCCCAUCUGACCGCCCCUCUCAGUCCCCCCUCCCAGCUCGGGGCUGCGUGGUGGGGCGCGGGGAGAGGGCUCUGUCCCCACGGAAGGGGCCUCUCCUGUGCUCCUGCCCCCAGGGGCGCACAGGCACAGCUGUGGGGCAGUGCCGGCAGGCGGCUGAGUGCCACCACUUUGGACUUACAAAUAAGUUUGUACUGUCGUCGUGAGUCGUCGGCUGAACACCACCACCUCCGACGACCCAUCAGACUGAAGAUGUGCACCUGACGCCAGGACGUGGCUUCUUGGAUUCUUUGAGUCUUCGUAGCAGCCAUUUCCUUCAGCUGGUUACCUGUAAGGCUUAUGAAUUGUAAUUAGCUCAUUAGGCAAUGUUACCUCCAGUGGGCUGUUGUCAGUUGUUAAGAACGCUCUCAAUAAAUGGAUGUGUAUU
RNAcentral lists this long non-coding RNA (1725 nucleotides) under Gallus gallus (chicken). RNAcentral's name for it is "lncRNA (ENSGALG00010000217.1)". Lineage: Eukaryota; Metazoa; Chordata; Aves; Galliformes; Phasianidae. The record is from RNAcentral.